UUGAAACACCAAUUCCUGUACGAUCACCAAAUUUAAUCUAUGUUAAGCCUGAUCAGUAUGUAGAUGGGUGACCUCUUGGGAAUACCAGGUGCUGUAAU
Molecule: non-coding RNA, 98 nt
Organism: Acanthosepion pharaonis
Lineage: Eukaryota; Metazoa; Mollusca; Cephalopoda; Sepiida; Sepiidae
Source: the annotation of a GenBank genome assembly